UUUUGGCUUACUCUGAACAGGGGCUUUCAGAGGAAAUGCUUAUCGUGUGAAACAUCUGCUGGAGAUUACAUCUUCUCAGAGAACCCGAUAACAGAAAACUACACGACAGCAUCACGCAUAGAGCUCAACAGUAAUUAUGACAAUCAAGGAUACUACAUAUGCCACUACGACAGCACAAAGAACAAGAAAAAGGAAGAAUCUUCUGUCUAUGUCUUCACUUUGG
Molecule: long non-coding RNA, 223 nt
Organism: Penaeus monodon (black tiger shrimp)
Lineage: Eukaryota; Metazoa; Arthropoda; Malacostraca; Decapoda; Penaeidae
Exons: 3
Source: RefSeq, a predicted model, not a curated record